This 2234-nucleotide unclassified non-coding RNA is filed under the name Hevea brasiliensis (rubber tree). Lineage: Eukaryota; Viridiplantae; Streptophyta; Magnoliopsida; Malpighiales; Euphorbiaceae. The record is from RNAcentral.
GUCAAAAUUCCACGCGUUAUUAACAUAAAGAUAUCAAAAGCCUAGGAGGGCGUACUCAAACAUAUUCGGUAGAUGAAAAAUUCUAUGCACUAAAAAAUUCCAUUAAUGGAGUCGAUGAGAUUACGAGGAUGAAACAAAAAGAAGAGCAAUGACCGUACACUGAACUAAACCAAAGGAAAGGCAUGAAGAUCGAAGAAGGAAGAGAGAGUCAAGAGAAGAGACCACGAGGCUUUUGGAGAUUUGUUAAACUGCCCUGGUUUGUCAGCUAUUGGUAUAGGCUAUAGGCUAUAGGCCAGUCAUCAACUCCUGUCAGCUACAGCCUUCUGCCUCUUCAAUCAAGCUAGCACGAAAUGUUCUGUGCAAAUUCUUAGUUUAGAGCCAAUUAUUACAAAUAUAAAAUACAUAAUCAAAUUUAUUUAUUUUAUAUGUCGAAAUACUCGUAUUGUGUGCCAAUGUGUGUAUCAGAAAAGUAAAACAAGAUAAUUGAGGAAUGAUAAUAUGUAGGUUCUCUUCCUACUUCUUACGCAAGGGAUGAUCAUGAUCAUGUGUUUGAUGGGUUCACUGCCCUUGAUGGGUCACAUAUGGUAGCAAGCUUACAAUAAUACCAAACAAAUGACCUAAAGGGUGGGGGAGAGGCAGAGAUAAUUAGAGAGCAUACAACAGUACAGCAGAGCAGUAAGAACAGGCAUGCAAGAGGGAAUAAAAGCUGCUAUUUUUGUUUUUCCUACUUGUUUUCUUCUUUGGCUUUCUUUACACAAAUAAUAUAAUUCAUCAGAAAGAAAAUAACAUUUUGCCAUUUUCCUUCCAUACAUAAAAUAAAAGCUAAACAGUCACCUACCAAUUUUCAUUAGGUUUUUUUUUUCCCAAAUCAGAUUAAUUCCCCCUUUUCCUUUCUACACCAAUACACAAAAUUGAAAAGGAGAGAAACCCUAGAUUCGUACAUCUUUUUCCAGAAAAUCCUAGAAAAUAAAGAAGAUAGAAAAUGAAGACCUUGUUAUUUAUGGUCCCUAAUCAACGAGCAACUUCAGUCUGCAAAGAUGCAUUGAGCUCCAGUUGCUCAGCCUCCCACUUAGCCUGAGCAACAACUCCAUCAUGCAGAGGCACGUAGUCCUCGAGUUUCUGAACUAGCUCUUUGACAUUUGGGGCAGAGACAAUAAUGCUACGUUGAGAAGGCUUGAUGAAGCCAUCGUCCACAGCCUUAUCUAUGAAGGUGAGCAGGAGGUUGUAGUAGCCGUCCACAUUAAGCAAGCCCACAGGCUUGUCGUGGAUGCCAAGCUGGGCCCAUGUAAUGACUUCCAAUAAUUCCUCCAAAGUUCCAUAUCCACCUGGUAAGGCAAUAAAACAGUCAGAAUGGCGGGCCAUCUCAGCUUUCCUUUGAUGCAUGUCGGCUACUGGUCUGACCUCUCCGACUGUUUCUCCAGUUAUCUGCUUUAUAAUAAAAGCAAAGCAUUACGUACAUCUAAUUUAUUAACCCAUAAAAAGAAAGAACCCAUACACUUAGAUAAUUCUAUUUUUGGAUAAUAUAUAUCCUUAGCUCAAGAAUUCCAGUGCCCAGAUGAAAUUUUCCGUUAAUUUACAUACCUCUUUGCUCAUCAGAGUUUUGGGGAUGAUUCUAAUACAAAAAAGAGAGAAACAAAAGAAGGGGGAAAAUCAAUUACUUCUGCAGAUGUUCAAAUAAAAUAUACCAAAUUUGAGCAAGAAACUAGUCAAUCUGCUGGACGAGAAAACUUGCUUUUUUUUUUUUUGGUACACUUACCCCAGUACAUGUCCUCCACCACGAUGGACCUCCUGAGACACUAAGCCCAUCAACCCAACACUUCCUCCUCCAUAGACGAGAUCUAAUCUCCUUGACACCAGUUCUUGUCCCAGUUCAAGAGCAGCCUCCCUGUAACAAUCUCUCUUGCCAGUACUGCUUCCACAAAAGACACAGACUCUUUUGAACCUUGACUUCACUGCUCUUUUCUCCUCCAUGUGGCUGUAUCGCUCCUUGCUCGUGGUAGCUGCUUUUGCUCUUUUAUAUUUGAAAAACCGGAAUUUUUUUUUAAUUUAUUUUUCACCCAAAUAAGGAACCAAUACCAAAAUAUGCAGGAGGCGCAAUUUUCCUAUAUAUAGAAGAAGGAGAUCCCCAAAUAAAAAGUAGGAUAAUUUUGUCACCCGUGGAGUCCUGUUGCGCCACGUGGACUCAUAACCCAAGAGUAUUGCUUUCCAAAAUUCGCCGACACGAUACGCGUUCC